Molecule: ribosomal RNA, 460 nt
Filed under: uncultured bacterium
Lineage: Bacteria
Description: partial 16S ribosomal RNA
Rfam family: Bacterial small subunit ribosomal RNA
Source: RNAcentral
CCUACGAGAGGCAGCAGUGAGGAAUAUUGGUCAAUGGGCGCGAGCCUGAACCAGCCAAGUAGCGUGAAGGAUGACUGCCCUACGGGUUGUAAACUUCUUUUAUAAAGGAAUAAAGUGAGGCACGUGUGCCUUUUUGUAUGUACUUUAUGAAUAAGGAUCGGCUAACUCCGUGCCAGCAGCCGCGGUAAUACGGAGGAUCCGAGCGUUAUCCGGAUUUAUUGGGUUUAAAGGGAGCGUAGAUGGGUUGUUAAGUCAGUUGUGAAAGUUUGCGGCUCAACCGUAAAAUUGCAAUUGAUACUGGCAGUCUUGAGUACAGUUGAGGUAGGCGGAAUUCGUGGUGUAGCGGUGAAAUGCUUAGAUAGCACGAAGAACCCCGAUUGCGAAGGCAGCUUACUAAACUGUGACUGACAUUGAUGCUCGAAAGUGUGGGUAUCAAACAGGAUUAGAUACCCUUGUAGUC